UACGGAGGAUGCGAGCGUUAUCCGGAAUCAUUGGGUUUAAAGGGUCCGUAGGCGGGCUAAUAAGUCAGGGGUGAAAGCGCUUAGCUCAACUAAGCAACUGCCUUUGAAACUGUUAGUCUUGAAUAGUUGUGAAGUAGUUGGAAUGUGUAGUGUAGCGGUGAAAUGCUUAGAUAUUACACAGAACACCGAUAGCGAAGGCAUAUUACUAACAAUUAAUUGACGCUGAUGGACGAAAGCGUGGGGAGCGAACAGG
This 253-nucleotide ribosomal RNA is filed under the name uncultured bacterium. RNAcentral's name for it is "partial 16S ribosomal RNA". It matches the Rfam family "Bacterial small subunit ribosomal RNA", at positions 524 to 776 of the family's 1533-position model. The record is from RNAcentral.